RNAcentral lists this ribosomal RNA (471 nucleotides) under uncultured organism. RNAcentral describes it as "partial 16S ribosomal RNA". It matches the Rfam family "Bacterial small subunit ribosomal RNA", at positions 334 to 797 of the family's 1533-position model. The record is from RNAcentral.
CACUCCUACGGGAGGCAGCAGUGGGGAAUUUUGGACAAUGGGCGAAAGCCUGAUCCAGCAAUGCCGCGUGAGUGAAGAAGGCCUUCGGGUUGUAAAGCUCUUUUGUCAGGGAAGAAACGGUGAGAGCUAAUAUCUUUUGCUAAUGACGGUACCUGAAGAAUAAGCACCGGCUAACUACGUGCCAGCAGCCGCGGUAAUACGUAGGGUGCAAGCGUUAAUCGGAAUUACUGGGCGUAAAGCGUGCGCAGGCGGUUUUGUAAGUCUGAUGUGAAAUCCCCGGGCUCAACCUGGGAAUUGCAUUGGAGACUGCAAGGCUAGAAUCUGGCAGAGGGGGGUAGAAUUCCACGUGUAGCAGUGAAAUGCGUAGAUAUGUGGAGGAACACCGAUGGCGAAGGCAGCCCCCUGGGUCAAGAUUGACGCUCAUGCACGAAAGCGUGGGGAGCAAACAGGAUUAGAAACCCGAGUAGUCCC